This 419-nucleotide ribosomal RNA is filed under the name uncultured anaerobic ammonium-oxidizing bacterium. Its description in RNAcentral is "bacterial SSU rRNA". It matches the Rfam family "Bacterial small subunit ribosomal RNA", at positions 383 to 810 of the family's 1533-position model. The record is from RNAcentral.
GUGAACGAGCGACGCCGCGUGUGCGAUGAAGGCCUUCGGGUUGUAAAGCACUGUCGUGGGGGAGAAAGCCCGCAAGGGUCGAUCGACCUCAGGAGGAAGCUCGGGCUAAGUUCGUGCCAGCAGCCGCGGUAAGACGAACCGAGCGAACGUUAUUCGGAAUCACUGGGCUUAAAGGGCGCGUAGGCGGGUGAUCAAGUCAGGGGUGAAAGCCUCCAGCUCAACUGGAGAAGUGCCUCUGAUACUGGUCGUCUCGAGGGAGGUAGGGGCGUGCGGAACUUCCGGUGGAGCGGUGAAAUGCGUAGAUAUCGGAAGGAACACCGGUGGCGAAAGCGGCGCGCUGGACCUCUUCUGACGCUGAGGCGCGAAAGCCAGGGGAGCGAACGGGAUUAGAUACCCCGGUAGUCCUGGCCCUAAACGUU